GGACCCUCAGUUGUCAUUUGUUAGUUUCUCCCAUACUUGUUCCUGUGCUGCUCUUUUAUAUCAGCAGAGAAGCAAUGAAGGACAAAGAGGAGAGGGGAAACUCAGGCAGCAGAAUACCUUGGGCCAUCUCUGGCCGGAGGCUGGUCUACUUCCCACCUGUACACCUGAACCUUUUCCCAAGUGCAACAGCACCCCGCUUUUCCCAUGCCCAAAGAAACUAGGAGAAAGCCAGGCAUGCCACACACAACAUCCCCCAUUACGGUCACCAAUAAUAAUUAUUUUUUAAAGUUCUGCAGAUGGUCUCCCUUUGCCUAGUCCCAGCACACCAAUGAGAUCACUCCAACAGCACUGAGCAACGACGGUCCCUUUUCACCCAGACCUAUGAGAUCAUCGCCAUCUCUUUGCUGCGUAAAAUGAUCACAAUGGAGCUUUUCAUGAAGCACGAAGCAGAGAGGGAGAGGAGGUCAUCGAAAGCACCAAGAGGCUGGGAUUCUUUUUUAAGGUCAGGGACCUUCUAAGGCUCGAGUUUCAUGGCAAAUGUGUUGGUGACAGAGUCCACACACACACACACACACACACACACACACACACCACAUGCCAUCAUUGUCAUGAGGCAGCUUGCUUUUCUUUUCCAGUGUAUUGAGGCCUGCUAAUUGACAGUUGGCCCAAGAGCUUUUCUCAUUAUUCCAUGGCUAGGCCUUGCAAAACUCUGAUCUUACCCGCUGAAUCGGAUCUUACCAGAAAUGCGGAGAAUCUGAAGAGAGGUUUUGCUUCACCAAGCUUCAAUUCAGCAGGAUCACACAUAUCAACCAGUAAGUGUUUCUCUGCUGUAGAAUAGGAGAGUCUGCAAACAACUGAUAAGUUUGAUGGCCUCAGCUGCUGCUUUUGAAAAAGAAAAAGAAACCAUUUCAAAAUAAUCUGGCUUCAAAUUCAGAUCAUGCUAUAGGAAGAGCUGAACCAUUGCCUAGAGUGGGACUGGAUGAGGAUCACUAAACUGGUCUCUUCAUCAGAGGCCCUUCUGUCGUUCCCACAGAUGUGAGGUGGAUUGUGACGCAAGACAGGAACCCAGACGCAUCCCAUAAUGUAUUGCAAUGUAUUAAAAGGCACAACCUGGAACCCUGGCAAACUUGGAAUUGCCAAUUCAUAUUACACUGAUGUUUGGGGAAAUGUACAAAAUUUCACGAGAGCCUAGAGAGGGCAGUGCAGAAAACAGAUAUAUUAUAAUAUUAUCUUCUAUUGCCAAGCAAGAAAGACGCAGAUACAAUCAGAUACAAAUGUGUUGCAAUAUAGUCCAUUUAUAAAUUGUUUCCCAUAGAAUAUCUCAAUGCAAUUUCACAGUAAAAAUAAUUCCAUAUUUUAAAAACUAUUUCAAAUCCAAUACAGUUAUCCUGUUCAUGCAAGGACUUCCACUCCCUCUCCUCUCCCCAUGUACCCUUCUGCCCCCCAAAUCUACUCUGAAGGGUUGAAGGAGCCCCAGGGCAGAUUUGAGAAUGUGAAGGGCAGGAGGGGAAGUUGCAUUGUGCAAGCAGAAGUCAUUGCCCUACAGGGAUAGAACACGCAAACAGCGAUGAAAAUAUAUAUGCAUCUGUGCAUGCAUGCAUUGUGUGUGUGUGUAGAUUACUAGAUUGUGAAACAAGACUCUUGGCUGAUAAUCAUAGCUAAACUAAAAUUGUUCAAAUAAUCCACUUCCCUUCCCUUGAACAAUUGAACUGAGCAAAGGGACAGGAAAUAAGGAAAGGUCAGAUUUGCAUGCUUUGUUUGUUUCCUUAGAUUUUCCAUAGUUGUGGAACUGAAUGUCCAGCAUUUGAAGAUCAAGUUCACCCUUUAGGCUUGCAGUUGCAACCCUCUUCAGAAUAAGAACUCAAAUGGGGCCUUUGUAAAGAAAUAGAUAUACACAAAACCAUGAUGUCUUCUCCCUGCUCUUGAGUGAUGUCAAAUGACCUCUCUACCCUCCAGCCUAAGCUGCUUUUCCAGACAGUGGAUCAAUCACUGUAUUCCUAGGAGUGGUGUAAAAUUCACCUUUUAGCAGACAGAGUUUGGCCCAUCUCACUAGGGACCCGAGCCGUGGACACUCAGAGCAUCAUUACAUCAACCUAAGAGGAGAGCCGAUUCCAUCUGCAGUGUAAAGAGACACCAAACUAUUCAUUUCUCCUCUCUUUCUCUCUCUGUGUCAGUUUAAAAUCCUUUAAUUCAUUGUAAUAGUACUUUGCAAACCAUAAACAACUUAAGAAGGAAUACUCUUCCUAAAAACAACUUGGCCUCCUCAAAACAAGUCUCAUGGAAGACUGACUUAAGAGUAAGUAGGCUAGUCAAAGUGAUUUGUCAAUCUCGGCUUUAAUGUGCAAAACAUUUUCUAAUCCUCCUGUCAUUCAGCCUCCCAAUAGUCUGUCAUUCCCAUUUUCUCUCAUGGGAUGCUGAACUCUGAGGGCCAAAUGAGAUGUGGCAACAGAAUGUAUGAAUCUCUCUCAGCUCUCUCUAAACUUUUGGAAGUAGCAGCCACUGUGUGUGUAUGUAGAGAGGAGGAUUGAAGUCAGGGCUGCAGCAUAGGGGAAGGGUAUUGGUUUGUUUUUUUUACCAGACAGCAUCCUGGAACCCACAUAGGUAGGGCAUAUGUCACCCAGUUCACUGCUCUUAAGUUGAAGUGCUAGGAACGUGAUGAAAUCUGUCUCACACUGAAUACAAUGGGGCUAUGAGGAGGGGGCUUCACCUUUCGCUGGGUUGGACCCAUUAUUUAUUUUAAAGGUGUGCAUCCUGCCUUUCCUUCACUUGAUCUCUUAGUUGGCUUGCAUAAUUAUAAGCCUGUAUAAGCAAAACAAGCUGAAAAACAGGAACAGACACACAAUUAUUGUGAGAAUCACUGUACAAAAUGGCAGAUCAAUCAAAUGCAUUCUGUAAUUACCAUCAAUCCAUGGGAGGGGUAAUUAAAAAAAAAAACCACAGGCACUUAAGGGAUAGAGGGGGGUGGGUGGGACAGGACUGAGACAGGUAUGUUUGCUUAGGGAGUUUUCAUUUAUUUGUGCAUUUAUUAAUGCAUUUAUUUAUCAAUUUUAUAUUCUGCCCUUCCUCCCAAUGGAGCCCAGAGCAGCAAACAAGUGAUAACAACAUCAUUAAAGUCACCCAGCACCCACCUUGUCGUCUUUCCUGUCCUGAACAAAAGCUGUGUGUUUUGUUUUGUUUAAUUGCCCCCAGCUUUUUAAUGCAUUUACAUUUAAACCCUUCCUUACUUGGGUGUUUGUACCACCAGUGCUUUCUUUCCUGGGAGGACACAGGGGUACACAUACCCCUAAACAUUUAGUGAAUUUAAGUUUGGCCCCCUUGAGGGGCAGUAUUUCAAUAUGAGUGGGAAAAUGAAAGUACCCCUAAACAUUUUUUUAGAAAAAAAGCACUGUGUACCACUGAGCUCACUGCCAGUUGCUACUUAGUAUGCCUAGGGCUGCGAUGCACAGCUGUGAUCAAAAUCUAUAAUCCUUUCCAGGUUUUGUAUUCUGCAUUAUGCUUUCAUAUCAUUAGAGUGUUUUCUUUUUGUUUACUACACAAACGUAUUUUGUUUGAAGCUGUUUCCUUGAUGGAGAUAACAAGGUGCUCUGGGAAUACCUAUCAAUCCAGCAGGGAAGGUGUGGCAUAACAGUCACGGAAACACAUAAAACAAAUGAAGGCUCAAAGGGGCCACAACCGAAAAGUCCCUGUCACUGGUGGCCAGCCACCCAGCCUCUGAAGAGGGGUGGGAACUAGAGAAGGGCCUCAGCGGAUGAUCACAGUAAAUGCACAUGCUUGUGCCUCCACAUUUGCUCAAGUAAGAGAUCAUCAUGGCCAGUGUACUGUCCUCUGAAUCAUUUGCAAGCAGACUCUUUAAUGGAUGUAUUUACCUAUGCCCCAGAAGAGAGGCAACUGGACACUUGGGAAAUCAAAACUAUAUUAUGUUGCUACAUUUUUUAUCCUGUUCCUCUUGGUCAGGGUGACCUGCAUGGCUUUCCCCUCCCUCUUCCAUCCUCUCAACUAGGGAUUGGGCAGAAAUUUGAUUCAGUUUGCAUCUGAAGGGGAUCUUACCAAAUUCACACUUUCUGAAAAAAUGUAUGAAGUGAAACAUAGCCAUCCUUCAAAAUCCACCCUCUCCCAGAUUUUAUAGUGCGUUUUCCCCAGUCAAGCAGUGUGUACAGAAAGGGUAAAGUAAAUACACAUGCUAGUGAAAGCAGUGAAAUGACUUUAGAUGAGGGGAAUAUUUAUGGGGGGUUCCUUUUGAGGGGAUUCCCUGCCCCCCAGCCCUAACUUGAGCUUCCAGGAGUUGAAUCUGAGAUUUUAUGCGUGCAGGGCAGAUGGGCCAUCACUCUGCUAUGGCUGUUCCCAUAGAAUAUCUUUAUAUGGUGAACUUUGUUUAGAGUUUUUAAUCUUCCGAACCUCUUUCCUUUUCAUAUUGUUUUUCUCAAUAUUAUUGUUCUGUUAGAAUGUAUUUUUAAUGAACAUUUUAAUUUCUGUAAGCUACUCCGAGUAACUGAGUUUAUUAAAUAAAUAGGACAGGAUUG
Long non-coding RNA from Podarcis muralis (Common wall lizard), 4520 nucleotides. RefSeq lists it as uncharacterized. The record is from RefSeq and is a predicted model, not a curated record. Lineage: Eukaryota; Metazoa; Chordata; Lepidosauria; Squamata; Lacertidae.